GAAAGGUCUGCACUGAGAAGUGC
This 23-nucleotide non-coding RNA is filed under the name Cricetulus griseus (Chinese hamster). Lineage: Eukaryota; Metazoa; Chordata; Mammalia; Rodentia; Cricetidae. The record is from RNAcentral.